UAACCGUAUAGGGGAGCCGAAGGGAAACCGAGUCUUAACUGGGCGUUAAGUUGCAGGGUAUAGACCCGAAACCCGGUGAUCUAGCCAUGGGCAGGUUGAAGGUUGGGUAACACUAACUGGAGGACCGAACCGACUAAUGUUGAAAAAUUAGCGGAUGACUUGUGGCUGGGGGUGAAAGGCCAAUCAAACCGGGAGAUAGCUGGUUCUCCCCGAAAGCUAUUUAGGUAGCGCCUCGUGAACUCAUCUUCGGGGGUAGAGCACUGUUUCGGCUAGGGGGUCAUCCCGACUUACCAACCCGAUGCAAACUGCGAAUACCGAAGAAUGUUAUCACGGGAGACACACGGCGGGUGCUAACGUCCGUCGUGAAGAGGGAAACAACCCAGACCGCCAGCUAAGGUCCCAAAGUCAUGGUUAAGUGGGAAACGAUGUGGGAAGGCCCAGACAGCCAGGAUGUUGGCUUAGAAGCAGCCAUCAUUUAAAGAAAGCGUAAUAGCUCACUGGUCGAGUCGGCCUGCGCGGAAGAUGUAACGGGGCUAAACCAUGCACCGAAGCUGCGGCAGCGACGCUGAUGCGUUGUUGGGUAGGGGAGCGUUCUGUAAGCCUGUGAAGGUGGCCUGUGAGGGUUGCUGGAGGUAUCAGAAGU
RNAcentral lists this ribosomal RNA (643 nucleotides) under Salmonella enterica subsp. enterica serovar Kentucky. RNAcentral describes it as "bacterial LSU rRNA". It matches the Rfam family "Bacterial large subunit ribosomal RNA", at positions 647 to 1289 of the family's 2925-position model. The record is from RNAcentral. Lineage: Bacteria; Pseudomonadati; Pseudomonadota; Gammaproteobacteria; Enterobacterales; Enterobacteriaceae.